This 332-nucleotide ribosomal RNA is filed under the name uncultured eukaryote. RNAcentral's name for it is "partial 18S ribosomal RNA". It matches the Rfam family "Eukaryotic small subunit ribosomal RNA", at positions 1470 to 1796 of the family's 1831-position model. The record is from RNAcentral.
CCCUUAGAUGUUCUGGGCCGCACGCGCGCUACACUGUCGGAUUCAGCGAGUCAUAUCCUUAACCGAAAGGUUUGGGUAAUCUUUUGAAAGUCCGACGUGAUGGGGAUUGAUCAUUGCAAUUAUUGAUCAUGAACGAGGAAUUCCUAGUAAGCGCGAGUCAUCAGCUCGCGUUGAUUACGUCCCUGCCCUUUGUACACACCGCCCGUCGCUACUACCGAUUGAAUGGUUUAGUGAGAUCUUCGGAUUGGCGCCUACGCGGCUUCUCUGAGGCCACGCUGGAUGCCGAAAAGUUGCUCAAACUGUAUCAUUUAGAGGAAGUAAAAGUCGUAACA